UGGAUCACCUCCUAACAGGGAGACAACAAAAUGUUUAAUAUUAUUAUUUUGUCACCUUAGGUCGAUCGGUAUCUCACGUUCUUAAUUUAUUAAGAAUUUCAUUUCCUAAGUUUUUCUAGGUCACACCCAUUAUUUUUCCUGGGCCAUUAGCUCAGGUGGUUAGAGCGCACCCCUGAUAAGGGUGAGGUCCCUGGUUCAAGUCCAGGAUGGCCCAUAUCUCUAUGUUGGGGGUAUAGCUCAGUUGGUAGAGCGCCUGCUUUGCAAGCAGGAUGUCAGCGGUUCGAGUCCGCUUACCUCCACUGAUUACCACCUCUUCCAUAUACGGUAGAAAGGAAAUUUUUUGAGUUGUGAUCAAAUUCUGAAAGAAUCUAGCUUCCUAAUGAAAACAUUAAGAUGCUGGACUCAUUGAAUUAAUUUCAUUGUUUUCAGAGAACCUUGACAACUGCAUAGAUUAUUUUUAAAGACAAUAAGCAUCUUUAAUGAUGCAGAUUUAUUAUUUGUGCGAGUGCAUUAAUAACAAUUCUAUUAAGCUGAUGCUUCAUUUUUGAAGUUAUUGGUCAAGCUACAAAGGGCUCACGGAGGAUACCUAGGCACACAGAGGCGAUGAAGG
Molecule: transfer RNA, 610 nt
Filed under: uncultured Prochlorococcus sp.
Lineage: Bacteria; Bacillati; Cyanobacteriota; Cyanophyceae; Synechococcales; Prochlorococcaceae
Description: partial contains 16S ribosomal RNA, 16S-23S ribosomal RNA intergenic spacer, and 23S ribosomal RNA
Rfam family: tRNA (bases 227-299)
Source: RNAcentral